UGACAUCGAAGCAACUGAAUUACCAUAUUUCAACAAAACAAAGGGUGCGGCUUACCAUUAGCCAGAACAAACUCAUGAGAAAGAUUUCGUCCGAUAUUUUCGUGGACAAGAUCGCACGGGCACGAUUUACAGAAGCCAUCAAGUGCAAGGUAGUGCACCUGACAUACGAAGCGUCCCCGAGUCGUAACAAGCUAUAAGGACUCUUUAAGACACAACGUGUACCGCUGUAAGUUGACCGUGAACAAACGAAUCCACUAGAUGUCGAACCCCAAUCUAACAUCAUGCAUUUGUUGGAAGAUUGCCCUAUAAGAAACUACUUGACUUCCCACCUAUGAAUUUCCGAAAUAUCUGGUCAUGCAAUCUGUUACACGGAUACAAGGAGUAAUAUCACACAACUCCUAUACUAACCCGUCACCUGUAUCACAUCCGUCAACACACGACCAGAAUCUCGGACCUUCAUCUACAACAGACCCUCGUGAUCACAACGAUACAAAGUAUGGCAGUACCCCCGAACAAUUUGCACCAGUACUGGGGACAUCGGGGUUAUCUCGCCACUACUAGUAUUGAAGCAAUUACGAACAUCCUUCAUUCUGAGAUACUAAGAAAUCUGAAUGAUAACGAUGUGUUCAAGAAUCCCCUGGAGCUCAACUCCCCGGAAGAAAAUCAAGUAACACAGGAGGCACCAAGAC
RNAcentral lists this long non-coding RNA (689 nucleotides) under Hordeum vulgare. RNAcentral's name for it is "long non-coding RNA (HVUL_LNC009650)". Lineage: Eukaryota; Viridiplantae; Streptophyta; Magnoliopsida; Poales; Poaceae. The record is from RNAcentral.